Long non-coding RNA from Talpa occidentalis (Iberian mole), 615 nucleotides. RefSeq lists it as uncharacterized. The transcript is spliced from 3 exons. Lineage: Eukaryota; Metazoa; Chordata; Mammalia; Eulipotyphla; Talpidae. The record is from RefSeq and is a predicted model, not a curated record.
CACUAGCGGGUCACAGAGCCGCGGUGGGCAGAGCAGGGCGCCCCCUCAGUUGGCCACGGAGGCUGAGCUCCUGGAGUCCCGGGAGCCCGCUCACCGAAGAGGUGGAAUCAGCUGAUCUGUGGGUGUUUGUCUGCGUUGUCCAUGAGGAGAGGAAACAGCGCGGUUGACUCCGAGGGAGGGCAAAGCUGCCAACAAGAGAGACAGUCUCAGACACGCAUCAACCUCGCGUCCAUCUGGGUCCUUACUUGAGCUUUGCUUCGCCAGAGCACAGGCCCAGCACCACUGCCUGGCCCAACCGGAGCGGUGAAGACACCGCAGAACCAGCACCAAAUGCGAGGCCUGUGGUGUCGCAGGGAGACUGGAAACAAGGGGCCUCUCUGAAGGCAUCAGAUGCCAGGCUCUUGGGAGAAAAUGGCCCCUUCCAGAAAUGCAAUCCUGUCAAAGACUAAAGCGCCCUGUAAGCACUACAGCAGGGUGCAGCCGCACUCCCCUGCCAGCCUGCUCUGCACGCAGCCACCGUCCAGAGAUCCUCAGGCCACGCAGCAGCCACCCAGCCAACCGCGUGGCCAGCAGUCAGAGUCAGGUGUGUCUGGGGGUGUGAACUUUGAGCAAGCC